RNAcentral lists this long non-coding RNA (753 nucleotides) under Marmota monax (woodchuck). Lineage: Eukaryota; Metazoa; Chordata; Mammalia; Rodentia; Sciuridae. The record is from RNAcentral.
UUUCCUGUUUCAGAGAGUCAUUCAAGACAGGCAUGUCAUUAUUUGGAUGGAGUUGGGCCACUGUGACUCUGGAAGUGGGACUGUCCCAUGUCCCCCACCCUGAGUAUUGCCAAAUUUGAGAGCUUCCCUUCUUAGUCCAGAGAGCCCUGGAGCUGAGCGGGGCCCUGCCUGCACAGCAGCCCCCAGCGACCCGAUCCUCUGAGGUUGCCUGGGCCCCAACAGGAAGGAGCUAACAUUGUGUCCUUUCUUAACAGCACUUGUCUGCGGGCCUCCAGCUUCGCCUCCAGGCCAUUCAGAACCACGUGAACCACCACAGCCUAAGGACGCUGCCGGGCUCAGGUCAGAGCAGUGCUGGCCUGGUGGCCCUCCGCAAGUGGCUGCAGUGCACCCAGUUCAAAAUGGCCCAGGUGGAGAUCCAGUCCUCCGAAGCAGCCUCUCAAUUUUAUCCUCUAUGAGUGGACUCCUCGGCUCUCAGUGACAACACUCUGGUUUAGCAAUAAUGGGUUUCAAAACAAAACGAUUCGAUCCAAGCAGGUUGGGGACAUAUUGGUACUGUACAUCCUCUUCCUAGUUUAGUAAAAGACGUGCAAAGGCCGGAGAGGGCCACAAUGACGCUUUCUUGCUACACAUAUUUCUGAUGACUCCUUGGGCUAUCUGAUUAAGUGUUUCCUUACAUUAUUUUUUAAAAACCAAAUCAUUUUUCUUUAACUAACUUCUAUUUUUUUUAAGAAAAAAAAAUAGACUGGUGGGUAC